GAUGAAGAACGUAGCGAAAUGCGAUAAUUAAUGUGAAUUGCAGAAUUUAGUGAAUCAUCGAGUCUUUGAACGCACAUUGCGCCCUCUGGUAUUCCGGGGGGCAUGCCUGUUCGAGCGUCAUUAUAACCACUCAAGCUCUCGCUUGGUAUUGGGGUUCGCGGUUUCGCGGCCCCUAAAAUCAGUGGCGGUGCCUGUCGGCUCUACGCGUAGUAAUACUUCUCGCGAUUGAGUUCGAUAGGUCUACUUGCCAGUAACCCCCAAUUUUUACAGGUUGACCUCGGAUCAGGUAGGGAUACCCGCUGAACUUAAGCAUAUCAAUAAGCGGAGGA
Molecule: unclassified non-coding RNA, 329 nt
Filed under: soil metagenome
Description: partial contains 5.8S ribosomal RNA, internal transcribed spacer 2, and large subunit ribosomal RNA
Rfam family: 5.8S ribosomal RNA (bases 1-120)
Source: RNAcentral